This 434-nucleotide ribosomal RNA is filed under the name uncultured Roseburia sp. RNAcentral describes it as "partial 16S ribosomal RNA". It matches the Rfam family "Bacterial small subunit ribosomal RNA", at positions 341 to 792 of the family's 1533-position model. Lineage: Bacteria; Bacillati; Bacillota; Clostridia; Lachnospirales; Lachnospiraceae. The record is from RNAcentral.
ACGGGAGGCAGCAGUGGGGAAUAUUGGACAAUGGGGGAAACCCUGAUCCAGCGACGCCGCGUGAGUGAAGAAGUAUUUCGGUAUGUAAAGCUCUAUCAGCAGGGAAGAUAAUGACGGUACCUGACUAAGAAGCACCGGCUAAAUACGUGCCAGCAGCCGCGGUAAUACGUAUGGUGCAAGCGUUAUCCGGAUUUACUGGGUGUAAAGGGAGCGCAGGCGGUACGGCAAGUCUGAUGUGAAAGCCCGGGGCUCAACCCCGGUACUGCAUUGGAAACUGUCGAACUAGAGUGUCGGAGGGGUAAGUGGAAUUCCUAGUGUAGCGGUGAAAUGCGUAGAUAUUAGGAGGAACACCAGUGGCGAAGGCGGCUUACUGGACGAUAACUGACGCUGAGGCUCGAAAGCGUGGGGAGCAAACAGGAUUAGAUACCCUGGUA